This 121-nucleotide small nucleolar RNA is filed under the name Echinops telfairi (small Madagascar hedgehog). RNAcentral's name for it is "Small nucleolar RNA SNORA61 (ENSETEG00000025960.1)". Lineage: Eukaryota; Metazoa; Chordata; Mammalia; Afrosoricida; Tenrecidae. The record is from RNAcentral.
AACCUCCAGAUCCCUUACCCCUUGGAUCUAAAUAAUGGUCUGGACGGCUACAAAAGGAGAAAAAGUUAAAUUGAGGUGAACUUGGUGUCCCUACUGACACACAAGUUCAUUCCAAAUAUAU